RNAcentral lists this ribosomal RNA (322 nucleotides) under uncultured eukaryote. Its description in RNAcentral is "partial 18S ribosomal RNA". It matches the Rfam family "Eukaryotic small subunit ribosomal RNA", at positions 1470 to 1796 of the family's 1831-position model. The record is from RNAcentral.
CCCUUAGAUGUUCUGGGCCGCACGCGUGCUACACUGAGUGGAUCAGCGGGUCAGGUUGCGCGAAAGCGUUUCCUAAUCUUUAAAUCCGCUCGUGAUGGGGAUUGACGGUUGCAAUUUUCUGUCAUGAACGAGGAAUACCUUGUAAGCGCGGGUCAUCAUCCCGCGCUGAAUACGUCCCUGCCCUUUGUACACACCGCCCGUCGCUCCUACCGAUUGAGUGGUCCGGUGAGGCUUUGGGAUCUGAGCGGAAAGAGCGUUUCGCUCCUUUUGCUGGGAGAACUCAGUCGAACCUUAUCAUUUAGAGGAAGGAGAAGUCGUAACA